UGUGCAAAGGUAGCAUAAUCAUUUGGCUUAUAAUUGAAGUCUGGUAUGAAUGAAUAUAUGGGUACCGACUGUCUCCACUAUAUUGUGUGAAUUUACUAAUUGGGUGCAAAUUCCCAUUUCAAGAUAACAGACGAGAAGACCCUAGAAAUUUUAAAAUUCACUUUUUGCUGGGGCGGCAGAAUAACAUAUAACUUAUUUUAUUAUAUUAUCUAAUGUAUUAUGGAAAAGUAAUUACUCUAGGGAUAACAGCAUAAUUUAUUUAGUUUGUGACCUCGAUGUUGGACUAAGGUUAUUAUUAUUCAGAAGAUAAUAAUUGAUGCUCUGUUCGAGCAAAAUUUCCUUACAUGAUCUGAGUUCAAAUCG
RNAcentral lists this ribosomal RNA (363 nucleotides) under Helicodonta obvoluta. Its description in RNAcentral is "partial 16S ribosomal RNA". It matches the Rfam family "Archaeal large subunit ribosomal RNA", at positions 2024 to 2687 of the family's 2987-position model. Lineage: Eukaryota; Metazoa; Mollusca; Gastropoda; Stylommatophora; Helicodontidae. The record is from RNAcentral.